UACAGAGGUGGCAAGCGUUGUUCGGAAUUACUGGGCGUAAAGGGCGCGUAGGCGGCCUUCUAAGUCAGACGUGAAAUCCCCCGGCUUAACCUGGGAACUGCGUCUGAUACUGGGGGGCUUGAGUAUGGGAGAGGGAUGUAGAAUUCCAGGUGUAGCGGUGAAAUGCGUAGAUAUCUGGAGGAACACCGGUGGCGAAGGCGGCAUCCUGGACCAACACUGACGCUGAGUGAGCGAAAGCCAGGGGAGCAAACGGG
Molecule: ribosomal RNA, 254 nt
Filed under: uncultured bacterium
Lineage: Bacteria
Description: partial 16S ribosomal RNA
Rfam family: Bacterial small subunit ribosomal RNA
Source: RNAcentral